GACGAACGCUGGCGGCGUGCUUAACACAUGCAAGUCGAACGGAAAGGCCCUGCUUUUGUGGGGUGCUCGAGUGGCGAACGGGUGAGUAACACGUGAGUAACCUGCCCUUGACUUUGGGAUAACUUCAGGAAACUGGGGCUAAUACCGGCUAGGAGCUCCUGCUGCAUGGUGGGGGUUGGAAAGUUUCGGCGGUUGGGGAUGGACUCGCGGCUUAUCAGCUUGUUGGUGGGGUAGUGGCUUACCAAGGCUUUGACGGCUAGCCGGCCUGAGAGGUUGGACGGCGACAUUGGGACUGAGAUACGGCCCAGACUCCAACGGGAGGCAGAAGUGGGGAAUAUUGCACAAUGGGCGGGAGCCUGAUGCAGCAACGCCGCGUGCGGGAUGACGGCCUUCGGGUUGUAAACCGCUUUCGCCUGUGACGAAGCGUGAGUGACGGUAAUGGGUAAAGAAGCACCGGCUAACUACGUG
This 468-nucleotide ribosomal RNA is filed under the name uncultured bacterium. Its description in RNAcentral is "partial 16S ribosomal RNA". It matches the Rfam family "Bacterial small subunit ribosomal RNA", at positions 28 to 507 of the family's 1533-position model. The record is from RNAcentral.